This 72-nucleotide transfer RNA is filed under the name Camelus bactrianus (Bactrian camel). It matches the Rfam family "tRNA". Rfam says of the family: Transfer RNA (tRNA) molecules are approximately 80 nucleotides in length. Their secondary structure includes four short double-helical elements and three loops (D, anti-codon, and T loops). Further hydrogen bonds mediate the characteristic L-shaped molecular structure. tRNAs have two regions of fundamental functional importance: the anti-codon, which is responsible for specific mRNA codon recognition, and the 3' end, to which the tRNAs corresponding amino acid is attached (by aminoacyl-tRNA synthetases). tRNAs cope with the degeneracy of the genetic code in two manners: having more than one tRNA (with a specific anti-codon) for a particular amino acid; and 'wobble' base-pairing, i.e. permitting non-standard base-pairing at the 3rd anti-codon position. RNAcentral also lists the same sequence under 2 other names. The record is from Rfam by way of RNAcentral. Lineage: Eukaryota; Metazoa; Chordata; Mammalia; Artiodactyla; Camelidae.
GGGUAUAUAGCUCAGCGGCAGAGCGCAUGCUUAGCGUGCAUGAGGUCCUGGGUUCAAUCCACAGCACCUCCA